AGUGAACGCUGGCGGUAGGCCUAACACAUGCAAGUCGAACGGCAGCACAGUAAGAGCUUGCUCUUACGGGUGGCGAGUGGCGGACGGGUGAGGAAUACAUCGGAAUCUACUUUUUCGUGGGGGAUAACGUAGGGAAACUUACGCUAAUACCGCAUACGACCUACGGGUGAAAGCAGGGGAUCUUCGGACCUUGCGCGAUUGAAUGAGCCGAUGUCGGAUUAGCUAGUUGGCGGGGUAAAGGCCCACCAAGGCGACGAUCCGUAGCUGGUCUGAGAGGAUGAUCAGCCACACUGGAACUGAGACACGGUCCAGACUCCUACGGGAGGCAGCAGUGGGGAAUAUUGGACAAUGGGCACAAACCUGAUCCAGCCAUACCGCGUGGGUGAAGAAGGCCUUCGGGUUGUAAAGCCCUUUUGUUGGGAAAGAAAAGCAGCAGGUUAAUACCCCGCUGUUCUGACGGUACCCAAAGAAUAAGCACCGGCUAACUUCGUG
This 492-nucleotide ribosomal RNA is filed under the name uncultured bacterium. RNAcentral describes it as "partial 16S ribosomal RNA". It matches the Rfam family "Bacterial small subunit ribosomal RNA", at positions 29 to 507 of the family's 1533-position model. The record is from RNAcentral.